GAAUGACUCUCGGCAACGGAUAUCUCGGCUCACGCAUCGAUGAAGAACGUAGCAAAAUGCGAUACUUGGUGUGAAUUGCAGAAUCCCGUGAACCAUCGAGUUUUUGAACGCAAGUUGCGCCCGAAGACAUCUGGUUGAGGGCACGCCUGCCUGGGCGUCACG
Molecule: ribosomal RNA, 162 nt
Filed under: Taraxacum nobile
Lineage: Eukaryota; Viridiplantae; Streptophyta; Magnoliopsida; Asterales; Asteraceae
Description: 5.8S ribosomal RNA
Rfam family: 5.8S ribosomal RNA
About the family: 5.8S ribosomal RNA (5.8S rRNA) is a component of the large subunit of the eukaryotic ribosome.
Source: RNAcentral